Xenia sp. Carnegie-2017 is the source of this 382-nucleotide long non-coding RNA. RefSeq lists it as uncharacterized. Lineage: Eukaryota; Metazoa; Cnidaria; Anthozoa; Malacalcyonacea; Xeniidae. The record is from RefSeq and is a predicted model, not a curated record. The transcript has 2 exons.
GUGAUCAAAUUGUAUUAAACCAUUCAUUCAAUGCCAGUCAUCCCAGAGACAAGAAAUUAGAACAGUUGAUUCAACUGUCUGAGAUCUCACUAUGGUACUCUCACGAUAUUUCCAAAACGUCCAUCCUUCCUUUAUUUAUGGAUUCCUUAUUCUUACAAGUUUGAUCUCAGUAUAUCCAGUGACCAAUACUGGUGAUUUUUUGGAAACGCGCAAUUCGACUCAACCAAAUCAUAUAAAUAACUCAAGGAAUUCAUCUGGUUUACACAAUCAAAGUGCUAAAAGUUUCUCAAUUCCUCAAGAACCAUUAAUAACAACAAUGGUGAUCUCCACAGUUGGUGUCCUAACAAAUGGUCUUCUUAUUGUUGUUAUUGUGAAGGAUCCU